RNAcentral lists this ribosomal RNA (497 nucleotides) under uncultured bacterium. Its description in RNAcentral is "partial 16S ribosomal RNA". It matches the Rfam family "Bacterial small subunit ribosomal RNA", at positions 28 to 507 of the family's 1533-position model. The record is from RNAcentral.
GACGAACGCUGGCGGCGUGCCUAAUACAUGCAAGUUGAGCGCUGAAGGUUGGUACUUGUACCAACUGGAUGAGCAGCGAACGGGUGAGUAACGCGUGGGGAAUCUGCCUUUGAGCGGGGGACAACAUUUGGAAACGAAUGCUAAUACCGCAUAAAAACUUUAAACACAAGUUUUAAGUUUGAAAGAUGCAAUUGCAUCACUCAAAGAUGAUCCCGCGUUGUAUUAGCUAGUUGGUGAGGUAAAGGCUCACCAAGGCGAUGAUACAUAGCCGACCUGAGAGGGUGAGCGGCCACAAUGGGAAUGAGACACGGCCCAAACUCCGACGGGAGGCAGCAGGAGGGAAUCUUCGGCAAUGGAGGAAAGUCUGACCGAGAAACGCCGCGGGAGUGAAGAAGGGUGUCGGAUCGUAAAAAUCUGUUGGUAGAGAAGAACGUUGGUGAGAGUGGAAAGCUCAUCAAGUGACAGUAACUACCCAGAAAGGGACGGCUAACUACGUG